GAUGAAGAACGUAGCGAAAUGCAAUAAGUAGUGUGAAUUGCAGAAUUCAGUGAAUCAUCGAAUCUUUGAACGCACAUUGCGCCCUUUGGUAUUCCAAAGGGCAUGCCUGUUCGAGCGUCAUUUGUACCCUCAAGCUUUGCUUGGUGUUGGGCGUCUUGUCUCUAGCUUUGCUGGAGACUCGCCUUAAAGUAAUUGGCAGCCGGCCUACUGGUUUCGGAGCGCAGCACAAGUCGCACUCUCUAUCAGCAAAGGUCUAGCAUCCAUUAAGCCUUUUUUUCAACUUUUGACCUCGGAUCAGGUAGGGAUACCCGCUGAACUUAAGCAUAUCAAUAAGCGGAGGA
This 341-nucleotide unclassified non-coding RNA is filed under the name soil metagenome. RNAcentral describes it as "partial contains 5.8S ribosomal RNA, internal transcribed spacer 2, and large subunit ribosomal RNA". The stretch from base 1 to 120 matches the Rfam family "5.8S ribosomal RNA", at positions 35 to 154 of the family's 154-position model. The record is from RNAcentral.